This 253-nucleotide ribosomal RNA is filed under the name uncultured bacterium. Its description in RNAcentral is "partial 16S ribosomal RNA". It matches the Rfam family "Bacterial small subunit ribosomal RNA", at positions 524 to 776 of the family's 1533-position model. The record is from RNAcentral.
UACGGAGGGUGCAAGCGUUAUCCGGAUUCACUGGGUUUAAAGGGUGCGUAGGUGGGCAGGUAAGUCCGUGGUGAAAUCUCUGAGCUUAACUCAGAAACUGCCAUGGAUACUAUUUGUCUUGAAUAUUGUGGAGGUAAGCGGAAUAUGUCAUGUAGCGGUGAAAUGCUUAGAUAUGACAUAGAACACCAAUUGCGAAGGCAGCUAACUACAGGGAUAUUGACACUGAGGCACGAAAGCGUGGGGAUCAAACAGG